UAGAUAUAUUAAUAGGUCACAAGUUAAACCUGGGUGUCUGCUUGCUCACUUUUUGAAAAUAAAACCCUAUGUGCCAAGUGUUGUCAAUAAGGUCACUUGCACAAGGCGUCUAUUUAGUCUCAGAGUCAGCAAAGCCAAAUCAGUGGUCUGGGGAGAAGAAACAGCUACUUGAACUUCAUAGGUUAAGAAAAUCCCCAGCUGAAGUGGAUCAUCAUUAAUAAGUUUCCAGUUACAUCCAAAGUAACGUCAACACUGAUGUUUUGCGAUCGGGUUGCUGGAGGAGGAAAUUGCUUUCCCAUCCUGGGAAAAUUUAGAAGAUUUUGAUUGCUUCCUCCUAUUCAGAUGGAAUCCUUGGGAUGUAUCCUAUUACCAGCUUCCAGCGCCUGCCACAAGGACUCGCACAGAGCACAGAAUCUGGCCCAGUUACAGAGUCAGUUCUUCAGCCAGGAUCUGUCACAACAGACUUGGACUGAAUGCAGACAUGGCCUUUUCCAACACAGUGAAGAAAAAGCUGAUGAAGUACUGUGGACCUAGGUUUUGAGAGGGUUUUUGCCCAUCUCUGAGAUGGGAAAGCCUUUCAUCUGCUCCAAGAUAGAGAGUAAGUUGAAAGUGAAGAGACCAGCAGUUUCCCAUGCAACCCCCAACUUGGGAAAGCAGGUGGAGUGGAGAGGAGAAACCACCUUUCAAUUGUGUUUUAAUGAACAAGUUGUUUGCUCUUCUGUGUCCUUUGAUGAAUGGGUGUUUUCGUUCAAAAGCUGACGUUUGUUUUUCAUUACGCCCAGCAUAUGCUCUACUAGGCAGGACCGUUUUUCUACUCUAGAUAAAUAAACAUGAAAAUGAAUUUA
Long non-coding RNA from Athene cunicularia (burrowing owl), 845 nucleotides. RefSeq lists it as uncharacterized. The record is from RefSeq and is a predicted model, not a curated record. Lineage: Eukaryota; Metazoa; Chordata; Aves; Strigiformes; Strigidae. The transcript has 2 exons.